UACGGGGGGGGCAAGCGUUGUUCGGAAUUACGGGGCGUAAAGGGCUCGUAGGCGGCCAGCUAAGUCAGACGUGAAAUCCCUCGGCUCAACCGGGGAACUGCGUCUGAUACUGGAUGGCUUGAGUGUGGGAGAGGGAUGCGGAAUUCCAGGUGUAGCGGUGAAAUGCGUAGAUAUCUGGAGGAACACCGGUGGCGAAGGCGGCAUCCUGGACCACGACUGACGCUGAGGAGCGAAAGCCAGGGGAGCAAACGGG
RNAcentral lists this ribosomal RNA (253 nucleotides) under uncultured bacterium. RNAcentral describes it as "partial 16S ribosomal RNA". It matches the Rfam family "Bacterial small subunit ribosomal RNA", at positions 524 to 776 of the family's 1533-position model. The record is from RNAcentral.